CCAUGUGUAGCACAGUGGCCUGAGCAUUGGACUACAACUCAGGAGACAAGGGUUCAAAUCCCUGCUCAGCA
Phrynosoma platyrhinos (Desert horned lizard) is the source of this 71-nucleotide non-coding RNA. The record is from the annotation of a GenBank genome assembly. Lineage: Eukaryota; Metazoa; Chordata; Lepidosauria; Squamata; Phrynosomatidae.